AUAUGCCUCAAGGGAUGAGGCUGCGUCCGAUCAGGCUGUUGGUGAGGUAAUGGCUCACCAAGCCUUUGACCGGUAUGGGCCAUGAGAGUGGUAGCCCAGAGAUGGACACUGAGACAAGGGUCCAGGCCCUACGGGGCGCAGCAGGCGCGCAACCUCCUCAAUGCACUAAAGUGUGAAGGGGUUAUCUCGAGUGCCAUCUGAAGAAGAUGGCUUUUCCUUCGUCUAAAAAGCCUUGAGAAUAAGAGAGAGGCAAGACUGGUGUCAGCCGCCGCGGUAACACCAGCUCCUCGAGUGGUGGGGAUGAUUAUUUGGCCUAAAGCGUCCGUAGCCGGCCGGGUAAGUUUCCCGUUAAAUCUAACGUCUCAAUCGUUGGUGUGCGGGAAAUACUGUUUGGCUAGAGAGUGGGAGAGGUAAGCGGUAUUUUGGGGGUAGGGGUGAAAUCCUUUGAUCCCCGGAGGACCACCAGUGGCGAAGGCUGUUUACUAGAACACGUCUGACGGUCAGGGACGAAAGCUGGGGUAGCGAACCGGAUUAGAUACCCGGGUAGUCCCAGCUGUAAACGAUGCAUGCUAGGUGUUGGGUUGGCCACGAGCCAUUCCAGUGCCGCAGGGAAGCCGUUAAGCAUGCCGCCUGGGAAGUACGAUCGCAAGAUUGAAACUUAAAGGAAUUGGCGGGGGAGCACCACCAGGCGUGAAGCCUGCGGUUUAAUUGGAGUCAACGCCGGG
Molecule: ribosomal RNA, 725 nt
Filed under: uncultured archaeon
Lineage: Archaea
Description: bacterial SSU rRNA
Rfam family: Archaeal small subunit ribosomal RNA
Source: RNAcentral